RNAcentral lists this transfer RNA (85 nucleotides) under Alistipes indistinctus. RNAcentral's name for it is "tRNA-Leu". It matches the Rfam family "tRNA". Rfam says of the family: Transfer RNA (tRNA) molecules are approximately 80 nucleotides in length. Their secondary structure includes four short double-helical elements and three loops (D, anti-codon, and T loops). The record is from RNAcentral. RNAcentral also lists the same sequence under 13 other names. Lineage: Bacteria; Pseudomonadati; Bacteroidota; Bacteroidia; Bacteroidales; Rikenellaceae.
GCCCAGAUGGUGAAAUUGGUAGACACGCUACUUUGAGGGGGUAGUGUCGGUUUACGACGUGCAAGUUCGAGUCUUGUUCUGGGCA